Pelobates cultripes (western spadefoot toad) is the source of this 504-nucleotide non-coding RNA. The record is from the annotation of a GenBank genome assembly. NCBI's taxonomy places the organism in Eukaryota, Metazoa, Chordata, Amphibia, Anura, Pelobatidae.
AUCUAUUCCUCUUCUCUCCCUCUGUCAGGAUCUGUUCUUCAUUUCUUCCUGUCUGCUCUACUUUUCUUUAAAACAUAAGACAAAGCAGGGACUAUUUGUCUUAUAAAGGUUUCAUACACCUGACCAACGGAGGAGCAAAGUGUGCUUCAUUUCUGGUGAUCAAAGCAAUUUUCCCACAAUUCUCAACUUUGAUCCGUGUCAGUAUUCCCGAACGUCCUGUCACUUAGACAGAACACUGGCGAAACUACCGAAAUUCAUCCUAACAGAAUGAGAACAGUUUCUCCAUUCGUGUUAGGACGACAUUCGGGACUUUGUUCGGUUUGGAAUUUCAUUCGAAUUAAUGAAACUCCGAUUCUAUUCGGGCUGCGGCUGCUUCUUGCAGCCGCUUAGUAGAUAGCUCUCUAAUUCCUAUAGUAUCAGAGAGCUAUCUACCAAAAGGCUGAAAGACCUAAAUUGCUCUUUCAGCCAAAUUUGCUAAUACUAAGUUGUGGCUGCUCACUGUAG